CUAAUAUUUUGUAGAUGCAAGUGAAAAUGGAUACUGAUAAUUUUUUGUCAGUUAGAAAAGUGAAAGCUAAAGGGAAUGGAUUCUACAAUGUUUGCUAUUAGCGUCGACAAACCGCCCACGUCAUAACUAGCUAACAGGCGUGCCUGUAACUCUUGUGGUUGCAUCAUCAUCCGACAGCAGUUAUUCUGCCUAUAAAAAUCCUGUUUGUGCUGUUGGUAGUCGAUGUUGCUGCCGUGUAUACGCUGAUUCUGCAACAAGUUGAAAUUAACCCGUUUGUCAUGCAAACAUUCAUUUGCACUCCCUAAAGGACGAUCGGCGAUUGAAAAGGUAGGAAAGUCGUGAGGUGAAAAAAGAAUGUAGCAGAGAGAAACAAUACGAGAAAGAGAGAAAACGCACGAAAAUUAGAUAGAUUGCAGGCGAAAUUCCAGGAAGUGGCGAGGAUGUAAUGUAGAGAGUUGUAGGGAUACAAUGGUGAAGUCAUGGUUUCGAAGAAUGUACUAUAAUAGGCAAAGUAAGAGCGACUCUUAUAUAAAGAAAAACUUCAGAGCAUUAUAUUUGAAUUCGCUGUCAUUUGGAACUGAUCUGAAUGAAAUGUACACAAGCAUUUUUUGUGCGAUCAAUCGCAAAAGGAAACCACUUAUGGGUAAUUUUUUGAGUUGAGUAUGGUGGGAAAAUGGGGAGAGAUUCAGCAAGAGUGUAGCAUAAUAAAAAGCGCGCAAUUUACGUAAAGUUAAAAAAAA
Molecule: non-coding RNA, 740 nt
Organism: Drosophila virilis
Lineage: Eukaryota; Metazoa; Arthropoda; Insecta; Diptera; Drosophilidae
Source: RefSeq, a predicted model, not a curated record